Molecule: long non-coding RNA, 11394 nt
Filed under: Sarcophilus harrisii (Tasmanian devil)
Lineage: Eukaryota; Metazoa; Chordata; Mammalia; Dasyuromorphia; Dasyuridae
Description: lncRNA (ENSSHAG00000028574.1)
Source: RNAcentral
GAUUUGCCUCACUAUAAUUAUAUUUCUUUGAAGCCCUGACAAGUUUUCUUAAACAUUUUUUUCAUAUGCGGCCUUUGUUCUAGCAGGUCUUGGGAAGCAAUAUCCCACAUUAACAUGGUUGUAAUUUGGUCCUUUAGGAAGUCUGUUGUAAGCAAGGGUGGGAGAUGAGGCCUGUACCUGUUUUGUGGGAGAAUCAGAGAGAUACUAGCUUUGUGAGGAUUAAGGCUAAUUAUUCAAAGUUCACGGUCCCUUAAGAGAAAUGGAGGGUGUUUUUUUAAAAAAUUUCUUAUUUAUUAAAGCCUUUUAUUUAUAAAGCAUAUGCAUGGGUAAUUGUAGGAAGGUUUUUUCAUCGACAUCAUCCUGGGUCCUAGUGAUGGUGGGUGAUUUGUUAUUGCUCCCUUGAGGCUGUCUCAGACCUAGGGAUUGGGGAAGGAGGAGGACAGGGUGUGGUUUAUAUAUUUAUUCACUUACUUUUCUAAUAAAGAUAAUUAGGUAUCUUCAAUAUUGUGAAGUUGAUUCCUGCCUGUUAACUUUCCUGGUUUCCCUGGAAAUGUCACUGGAGGAUUAUUCAGAGUGGGUAUGAGUGAGCUCUCAAAGCUCAGGGAAUUCUGGACACAUCCAGGGAAAAAUGCCUAACUAUAUUUACCUGCCCCUAUGCACCUAGGCUUCUCCCUGAUUAUAUCCCUGGAAAGUAUUAGAGUGGUUUGGCAUUUUUGAAACUUUCUCUUCCGUUGUGGUGAAUUAGAAUAGAAUGCAAUUUGGGUGACCUUGUUGAAUUAGUUUUUUUCUGAUGUUAACGUCCUUUUAGUGUGAGUUGCAGGUGGGAAGAAAGGAAAGAAAGGGGACAGACACCCAGAGAUUAUACUGUUGGUUCUGUCACUAACCCCACUAAGUAACCUCAAAGGAUAUUAAAACUGAAUGGAAUCUUAGAGCUCAUUUAGUCCAGAAGAUGAGAUUCAUAGUUGUCAAAGGACUUGCCUAAAAUCAUGCAGAUUAGCCAAUAAGAAAAUUAGAAUACAGGUUCCUUGCAUUCAUAUUUGGAUUUUAACAGCUAGUAGUUCUAUAGCUAGCAUUUCUAUAUCUUUCAGCCUGAUUCCCCACUUUUUCCAAUUGCUUUAUUUUUUCUGGUUAUACAUAUAUAUUAACUUUUAAAAUACACAUUUCUUUAUGAAUUAUGUUGGGAGAGAAAAGUCAGGACAAACAGGAAAAACUAUGAGAGAAAAAAAAACCAGAAAAAGUAACUCUAACGUGUUGAUUUACAUUCAAUCUCCAUAGUUCUCUUUUUGGAAGCAUUUGGUGUUUUCUAUCCAAAGUUUAUUGGGACUGCCUUAGAUCACUGAGAAGAAGCCAGUCUUCAUAGCUGAUCAUCACAGAAUCUUGCUGUUAACUGUAUAUAAUGUAUUCCUGGUUCUGCUUGUUUUGCUCAGCAUCAGUUUGUGCAAAUCUUUCCAGGCUUUUCUAAAAUCAGCAUUUUUUAUAGAACAAUAAUAUUCUAUUACUUUCAUAUACCACAACUUAUUUAGCCAUUCCACAAUUGAUGGGCAUCUAUUCAUUUUCCAAUUUUUUUGCUACCACGAAAAGAACUGUUAUAAACAUUUUUCCACAUGUGGGUCCUUUUCCCUCUAUGAUUUCUUUGGGAUACAGACCCAGUAAUGAUGAUACUGAGUCAAAGGGUAUGCACAGUUUUAUAAUCCUUUGGGCAUAGUUCCAAAUUGCUCUCCAGCAUGGUUGAAUCAUUUCACAACUCCACCAACAAUGCAUUAGUAUCCCAGUUUUCCCAUAUCCCCUUCAACAUUUAUCAAAAUAGAAACCCAGGGCUCUUGCACUCAAAUUCAGACCUUUCUCUAUUAAGAGCUAGCAAUUCCAUAGCUAGUGUUUCUAUAUCUUUUAGUUUGUUUCCUCAUUCAUAAAUGAAAAGCUGGUACAAAAUGAUUUCUGACCUCUGCUAUUCUAUAAAUCUAAGAAUCAAGAUCUUCCAAUAUUAAUCCACUAUUCUGUAAAUAAAGUGAUAGAUUUGCCCUCUCCCUCAAUCCCUAUGUGAUUAUAGAAAGCAAAAAGGGCGGAUAACAGAGGUAAUAGGCUAUUAAUAUAAUUUUUUGUUUGUUCGUUCAAUGUUCUCAGUUAUGUCUGACUCUUCAUUACCUUAUUUGGAGUUUUCUUGGCAAAGAUACUGGAAUGGUUUUCCAUUUCCUUCUCCAGGUCAUUUUAUACAUGAAGAAAGUUAAGCGACUUGCCCAGGAUUAUUAUAGUUAGUAAGGGAGGCCUAAUUCAUACUCAGGUCUUCCUGACUCCAGGCUUGGCCCUCUAUCCAUUGUGCCACUUAGUUGUCCCACUGACAAGUUAAUGAAGUGUUUAUUCAUGUUAUCCCUUUAUAAAUGUGGAAAAGUUUUUCCUAAUGGAAUUAUCGAGGUAGCUGACUGCCAGACUUUGUCAUCUUAUUAGGGAGUAAGAAGGAGUUAAGGGCCAAGAUGGCUGCUUAAAUAGGAGACAGACCACCCAGAUCUCAGAUACCUAUUCCAGCAAAAACGUAAAAAUUCGGCCAGAAGCCCACAGGCAAGAGGAAAAAUGGGCCACCAGCAAAGCCAGUACCAGUCAGGCAACCACUCUAGUAGUUUCCCAGUAAAACCAGAGAAGGGCCUGAGAUAUGUGUAAUCUGCAAAGCUGUGUGUCUGGAUCCAUCCAAGAAAGCCCCAGGGUGGUCUGAGAGCCCCAGAUUGGAGACCUUGGAAACACCAUAGCCCUCAAGCCAGGAUGACUCAGGCCCAUGAGUUCCAAGGUGCUUAGCACUCUGACCUGAGAUGCCCUGGAGAGCCCUGAAAAUUCAGCAAUAUGAACCUCAAAGAUUCAAGGGAACCCAAUCCCGGGAGGUGGAGGUCAGCACAAGAACCCAGAGAACUCAGGGUGAGACCAAGCAGGGCUAACCACUCCAACCAAAAGUACUGCAAAGGGUGGGGUCUGGCCACAGCACAAAGCCUCAGCUCAGGAACUACAGUGGGAAAGAUGAAUAAACCAAAGUAGACACUGACCAUUAUAGAAAUUAUUGUAGAUCUAGAAAUGCCCCCAAGCCCAUAACUCUAUAAGUAGAGACUCAAACGAAAUAAUGAAUUUUCCAUGAGCACUACAUGAAUACCUAGAAAAAAAUGAAACAAGUGUUAACAAACACUUUGGCAGAAAAAAAUUGGAAGAAGAAUAAAUAGUUUAGAAGGGAAAGUGAUAAAACUUCCCCAAGUAACUGGAUUCCCUUUAAAACCUGAAUAGACCAAAGAAAUCAUUGACUAUAUGAGAAAGGAUGCAUAAAUGAACUCUCCUUCAUUGAAUCAGAAGGGCCAACACCCUUGGCUAGAACAAGCUUGGCCACACCCCUGGUGGCCUCUUAAAAAGUUGAGAUCACAAACUGGUGACUCAAGGAAGAGAGAAGAAACUUAUAAUCUCCAGGUAGACAGACAGGGAUACAGUCAGGCAGUAAGGAAAUAAUUUCAGGAAGGAUACUUCCUGAGGAGGACACUCCUGGCACUAGAGAAAGGAAGCACACUCUGGAUUUGAGGGAGAACAACCCUGGCAAUCAAGAACUAAGGAGAGGAGCAGACUCUGGAAAACCAGCUGAGCAAACGGCCCAGGAGAGAUGCAACAUCUUGGGGAGAGCUGCAUGAGGACAACAUGAGGAGAAAAAGGACUUUGUGGUCCUGUGGUACUGGAGUCAUAAAUUGCCCUGCCUAGUGUUCUCUCUCUCUCUAUUCCUUUCGACUCAGUUGUGCCCACUCUUCUCACAUGCUGUGUGAAUUUGUAGGGGAGUAUGCACCAGGUUUGUUGGGGAGAAAUGUUUUGUAGCAACUGUUCCUUUGAUUCCAUCUUAGGAUAUGCUUUUUUAUAUGAGUUAAUUGUGUCUACUGAUUGAUUGUUAAUGGGAAGCCCACCAGUGGGGGCUCUCAAACCAUACUUGUAGGAUCACAGACCUGUAAGGGACCCUAUAACCCAAAGUUGCAGCAGCCCUCUGGGAGAUCCAAUCCCCAAGCAUACAAGAGGUAUCCCAGAGAGGCCGCUAAAUAAAGCAAUACAAAUAUGAGUUGUUUCUGUGCAUAAUGUUCUAGAAGGCUUAAAGCAGACCAUCUGAAUUCUUUAAAUUUGAUUUUGAAACUGGAGACCAUGCUGAGCUAUUGAGAGUAAAGCCAUAUUGACAAUAAAUAGGUACAGGGGCUAGUUAUUUCCCCUGAAGAUAAUUGUGAUCAAGAGAAAGACUUUGAAUUAGAAAUUAGAUCAAAAGAAAGACUUUGAAUUAAAGAAAAGGAGAAAUAAAAAUACGGGAAAGAGAGAGGUAUGAAUCCUUUUCUCAAUGAUUUUUUUGGGAGGGGUGGGUGAAGCAAUUGGGGUUAAGUGACUUGCCCAGGGUCACACAGCUAGGACAUGUUAAGUGUCUGUGGUCACAUUAGAACUCAGGUCCUCCUGACUUAAAGGCUGGUGCUCUAUGCACUAUGCUAUCUAGCUGUCCCUCAAAGAUUCUUUAAACACCUUUACAUAGGUUAAAAAGCAGCGGCAGUUAUGAAUUGGUACAACUGUUGUGGAAGACAUUUGGGAAUGACUGAGAAGGUCAUUAAAUGUCCACACCCUUUGACUCAGAGAGUUCACUACUAGGCAUAUCGUACAUGGCAGUGAAAGACAGAAAAAGUCUCAUAUGCACCAAAAUAUUUUGGCAACAUUUUUGUGGGGAGCAAAGAAUUAGAAAUAAAAUAAAUGUCCAUUGAUUAGAGAACAGAUAAACAAACUGUAUUUACCAGAAUGUAUUGAAAUAUUACUGUGCUAUAAGAAAUGAUGACUAAGAAAAGUAAAGAGAAACAUGGGAAAACUUAUAUGAAAUGAUGCAAAGUGAAAUAAGUACUAAGAAAAUCAUAUAUAUUAUGAUUACAAUCAUAUAAUUAGAAAGAAGAAAAAGCAAAAUAGAAUUUAGUGCUAUAUAAUUGUUAAAACAAAACCCAACAAAAAACAAAAUAAAGCCAAAAACAAACAAAAAAGCCUCUGAAGAUAAGAAAAUAUGUAUUCUUCCCUUCUUUUCAAAGGUAGGGGACUAUGGGUAUGAAACAUUACAUAUACUGUCAUUUGGUCGAUGUACUGGUUAAUUUUGCCAAAGCUGCUUUUUUCCCCCUCUCUUAUUCUUUGUUAUGGGUGAGGAUCUAUUUGAAAAUGAAAGUGUUAUCCAAAUUAGAACAGAGACUUGGGAGAAGCUAGAGACUAAUGACCAAGAUAACUACUGAAGGGAAAGGUAUAUGUGAUGAGAGGUUUGAAGCUUGAAUCUUAGCCUCUCGACUGUUAAAAUAAGAGAUCAACUACAGUACUAGUUUGCCAGCACUUAUUUGGACCAGGAUCCAAUUUUACAUCCUAAUAUAGACAGAAUGUGUGGGAGGAAGUAGAGAUGGGAGAUGGUAGCUAUGUAGCUGUCUUGGGGAAUCAGUAGGGAGACAUCAUUAGGUGAAUCCCAUGCAUAUUAAAGUGACUUGUGUCUGGAGUGUGGUACCUGGGACGAGAGAUGUUUAGGGUUCUAACAUUGUCCCUUAGUUUGGCCAUAAUGACUCUUGGCAUUGCACUGAGAUGUUGAAAGAAUACUGACAACUCUCUUCUCUUUUUUUAAGAGGGAAAAGAGAUGAAGAAGGUAUAUAGCACUCUUUCUGGGAUACUCUUCCAAUUUAUACUCACACUGAUAAUGUUGAUUGAAAAUAACCAAGAAUCAUGAGUUUCCAAUGCUGUGUUUUCCAUUAAACAAAAAUCCAUUAGGCACAAAUAGUUCUUAGUAAAAGUAUUUAGGUAAAAUGGCAUACACAGAAUAAUCAUAAUGAAACAAUCUCAUCAUAAACUUGGGGCAUACUGCUCCACAAAUAUACACAGCAUCCAUAGGAAGAGUGAGCAAUGACGGUUCACAGUAAGUAGUACUGAGACAACCACGUAGAAAACACAUGUGGUAAAGACUACUCCUCCAAUAUUAUCAGGCUUGCAAAUUUUACUCUCCCAGCUGAGGCUUUACAAACUUUUCCCCUAGGACACAGUGUUUCUCUUUAGGGUCUGCUAGGGUCUGCUUCUCUCCAAGAGUCAACUUUUGAUUGCUAAGGUUAGUUCUGGCUUAAGUUCUGAGCUGACUCUCUUCUUGCUGCCAAAAGUUCCACUUCUUAAAACCAUUUUUGGCUUUGAGAGACCACCUCUCUAUUUCUUUCUGUCUGGAGAAUUUUUAUCUCUGCUUCCUCAACUAUAUCUCAAAGUCUCUAGAACUCAUUCUCCAACUGCUUGAUGAGACAACGCCUUCUGGGUGAAUAUCUCUGCUGCUGGAGAAUAUAGUCCCUUCUUCUUAUAUAAAUAGGUGAUUCUUCUUUGACUGCUGGUUCUUGUCUUAAAUUACUGGAUGGUACCUUUUAAAAGUCACUCCAAGUGUGUCCUGAUCAUUGCCUUUCAAGAAUACUGGCUCAGGUUCUGAUUCUUUUUUGACAUGAGUACUCUAAUUCCCAGAAUCUAUCACCUUCUUCCCUUUUUUGAAAAUAGAGACAAUUUACAGAUUUCUGGUCUUCUCAAACUUCCUUUUUUUUGCUGGGAUUGUUCUGUCCAUUUGACAAUCACAUUAUUAUGCUUUUCUAGUAUUCUAGAAAAGUGUUUCCCAAACUUUUUUGGUUGUAAGCUUUAUCAGCAAAAACAUUUGAGUACAUUCCCCAAAGAGAUGUAUGUUUACUAUGUAUAAAUUAUAUAUAUAAAACUACAUUAAAAAUAAUAGAGCUAAUAACAACUUAUGUAAAAUGGAAAGAAUGAGAUGAAGAUAAAAUAAGUAAUAUUUUAAAUGAAAAAUGAUUUAAUAGAAUAAGGAAAUUUUUGCUCUCAUUAAAUAUUAUUCAUAAUUUUUAAAAGUGAGAUUAUGAUUGAAUAUAUUAUUGAAUAUAAUAUUUUUCAUAAUUUCAGCUUAACAUGUAGUACUGUAGAAAUUUUAAGGUUUGGUUCAAUUUGUUUUAGACCUUGGUUUUAAUGUUUCUCCUUGCUAAACAAUGGAAAAGAUGCAUUAUUGGAUUCAUUUACUCAAUAAUCAUUUUUCAAAAAUAUCCACUAAUUAUGCAAAGAUUUUGGUUGAAGUUAAUUCCUGUUUUCCAAAUAUCAGGUGAAGGGAGUUCAAAACUUGCUUUGGAAGAUUUUUGAAAGUUCCUUGGAAUAUUUUUAAGCUGGUUAGAAAAUUCUGUCACUAAGGCUUAAAAGUGUUAAAAUAUGAAUGACACACACCAUUUUUAGCCAUCUGGAGAGAAGAGAAUUAAGUAUCCAGUGUGUCAGUAAGUCAGUCAAUAAACACAUAUUAAAUGCUAUAUUCCAGGAACCCCCAAAUUCUGGGGAUUCAAAGAAAGGCAAAAAACCCAGUUCCUAUCCUUGAGGAAUUUACAUUGUAAUGGGGGAAAAACAUGUAUAAAACCAUGUAAAGACAAGCUAUAUGCAAGAUAAAUAGGAAAUAUUCAAUAAAGAAAAGACACUAGAAUUAAAAGUGAUUGGCAAAAGCUUCCUAUAGAGGAUAAGAUUUUAGUGGGACUUGGAAGGAAGCCCAGGGAUGCCAGAGAUGGAAAUGUAGAGGGAGAGCUUAGGUCAUAGAUCAUAACUAGUGAAAAAGCCCUUAUGCUGGAAGUGGAGAAAGAUAUUGUGGCUUGGUGGUAUUGUGGAUAGAUCAGUAUGCCUAUAGGUAGGAGAAUCUGACUUUGAAUUUGGCCCCAGACACUAACUAGCUGUGUGAUCCUGGGUAAAUCAUUUAACAUCUGAUUGCCUCAGUUUCCUCAUCUGUUAAAUGGGGAUAAUAAUGGCACCCACUUCUCAGAGUUGUUCUGAGGAUCAAAUGAGACCACAAUUGUAAAACUUCUUUGCUUUGUAUAGUCUAGUGUAUAUUCUUCUUAUAUACUUUUUGGAUUUCUGUUUGAUUUGGAUUAAUGGAUUUCUAUAUUAAUUGCUAUUUGUAUUUGAUAAAGAAUUGCUACUUGGUGGAAAGAAUCAAGCUUUGUAUAUAAAUGUAACUUGGGGGUUCUGUUUUCCCCACUGAUGAACAGUGAUCUGAAAUUUAGCUUGAAUCUGAAAACUAUAUCCCUAAGACUAACAAUAUUUAAAGGAAAAGGUAGGUAUAAUUCUAGCCUAACUCUAAUCCUUCUCAUUCUCUCUGAGGAGAGCAGAAUGGCCAAAACAUCUAGUCACAACUUCUUACUUUCUCUCCAGUCAAGAAAUACAAUCUUCCUAGGAGAAUGAUCUGGGGAGAACAGGCUAGAGAUAUCUAUUCUUCCCUUUGAGCCACACAUCAUCCUUGUGAUAUGUGUGGGGGGACAGCCUUUAUAAGAAAUAUUAAUGAUACUAAGAAACUGUUAUGACAUUUAAAAACCAAGCUUCUGUAGCCCCAAACAAUUUAAGCAUGUCAUCUAUUAAAGGCAAAAAACUUCAUAUCUGUGGAGCCCUGCAUGGUGAGAGAGAUACUACUACAGAAUCCACCAGCCCCAGAUGUUCCAGAACUGGGAUUCCUGGAAAGGAUUUUAUUAACAUUUUGAUGACUGCGUUGUUGAGAUUUCUGGGAGAAAGAUGCUGGAAGAGAAGAAACUGGGUGGCUAGUAUGAUGGUUCUGAACUCUAUUUGUCACUGAGUCAACUUCUCAGAAUCAAGCACUCUCAUGGGGUACUUCUCUGUUCCUCUCUACAAUGACUCUGAAAGGCACUGCUGCUGUCAUGGUUAACAAGGCAGUAGAUGGAGAGAAAGGUUGCCACUAGUGAUUACUGUGCUAGCAGAAUGAGAUGCCCACAACUGUGUGUCAGAGACAAUAGCCUUUUAUUGUAUUUCUAGCUUUGGAGGAGAGAGCAAUAAUUGAUCGGUCUAUUCCUCCAGAAUUUUGCCUCCACUCUUCCCCUUGAAAGGAAGGAGUUAAAUCAGGUAAAAGCUGCAAUUUGCUUCAUGUAGCAGCACCCAGCACUAAAUGCAUUUAUUAACAGUGUCCCUUUCACCUUUCUCCCUCCCUGUUCUUUCUUUGCUAUCAUUGAUUGCCAUUGUUUUAUAUCCACCUACUACAUCUUCUUUAUUUAAUAUUAUCCUUACUUAUUGAGUUUGGAGAAGGUUGGGGGGAAGGGGAAUAAAUAGAAGAACAGAAAAAAAAAAACUUUUGGGUCACUCUCCAGUAAUUUUCUUUAGCAAAUUCAAUGAGAUAACCAGGAGGAGAGGUAAACAUGGAGAGACUAAUAUCCUGAAAAUGAAUCAAAUUAUGCCUCUAGAUCAAGAAAAUAGGUUCUUUGAGAGAAGGGAUUCAUUUCCAUGUGGACUGUACAGUUUUUGGUCCCUUAUAUCUAUUUUCUCUUCUAGCAGUGUACAAGUGGGUGAGGAUUUUACAUUUAGGGAAUCAUGCUAUCUACUGCCACCAUACAAGUAAUUAUGCACUUUAAUUAUUCUCUCCUUAUUCUCCUCACAAGUGGAGAUAUUAUCCCCCAUAUAUCCUAUUACAUGUGGGAGGUUCCCCAUUCAUUUACAUCUGCGCACUUAAAAUUUUUAACCUCUUUAAAAAUCUUCUAAAUGAAGAAUUUCAGUGGGAUUUUGAAAUCAUUUCUUAAAAAAAACAUAAAAAUGAUUGACAUAAGUGAAGAUGGAAAUUUACUAGCCAAAUUUCAGGAAAAACCUUUGCAUAAUUGGUGGAUGGGAAUGAAAAAUGAAUAUGGUAAUUUAGUACACAUUGUCAAGUGUGUUUCUUCCAUUUGGUUCUAUCUAUCUUUAUGAACUAUCUUUUCCAGCAACUGAUAUUCAUUUAAACAAACAUCACAAUAAAAUUGAACUUGAGGCCAGCUCUUCAAAGGACUAUUUGACAGGAUCAUGGAAUUAGUUCUAAAAGGGACUUUGGAAUCAUCUCAUCUAAUCCCCUCAUUUUAAAGAUGGAAGCUAGAAACUUCUGAAAUGACUAGAUCCUGAAGAGAUUCAAAUUCAAAGAAGAGGGGAAAGAAACUCAAAUCUCUCUUCUCUCCAACUCUAACAACUCUGCUCUGCCCACCAUGUGAAGUGCCCUGAUUUCCACCGAUGAUCAGAGUCCCAUGCCAUUGGACUUUGGAACUGGUUAUAUGUAGAUAAAUAAAUGUACUUUAAAAAUAUACUUUACAUUUUAUUCUAAGUAGAUACUCAUGUAUCUUUUUUAACUUUACUUUUUAAAAACUAAUUUACUAAAUUCACUUUUAACAUCCCCAUACAAGAAUACUAAUAAUCAAAGUCUGUAUUAUAUACACAUUUGUACUCUCUAUAUUUCCAUAUACAAAAAAGGACUGUCUAUGAUACUGGGAAAUUUGUUGCUUUUUUAAAAAAAGUAUAGAAUAAUUUCAAUGGGUUGCUUUCACAAGUAUCUUGACUGUGCUUUCACUAAAUCUCCUCUUUGUGAAUUUAAAAAAAAUAUUUCAGUUGAUCUUUUUUGAAAAAUGGCAUCCCCUUUUCUAUCGAGCUAAUGCAUGCUCACUAUUUGAUUCCAUCCACCCUUCUAUUACAGAUUCAUACUUCCCAGACCUACCCUUUUAUCAUUUCUUAUGUAACAAUAACAUUACAAUUUAUUCAUUUUCUACAAUUUCAUCUGCCAUGCCCCUAUUGACAUGCCCUCAGUUUCCAGUUCUUUAUGUUUUUUCCUCAUUCCACCCCAAUCCCUGCCUUCAAUAAAGUUUACCAAAAGUGCUAGUUGCCAUUAAAAUCCAACUAUUUGGGAUUCGAGCUUGUUUUGAUUCAUGAUCUUUUGUUCAAAAACUUCAGAAAUUCUCUGGAGUUAGCAGGAAUGUUCCCCAUAGAACUAAGAGACAUGACCCAGGCUGGGGAUCUGGCCAGUUUCCCCUUUCAUGGGCCCCUCUGCUGAAAGGGAGUUAUAUGUUUCUCUCCAUCUCAUGUAACUUUAGAAAGACCACAGGCAGCUCCACAGAAGGGAAGAAGUGAGAAAUAUUACCAUAAAUACUACAUUUAAAGAACACUCCAUUCACGUAGCAGCAAACCCUGGGCUCCCAGAACAACAUUAUUUUUUAUUUAGCUAAGAAAACUUAUUUGCCUUUUUGGAGAGGUUUCUAAGAAGCUGGGUUGGGAAAUCAUAAUCACAGAAUGUUCAAGCUACAAGGGACCUUCGAGAUCAGCUAAUUCUAUCCCCUCAUUUUGCAGGAGAUUGAGGUUGAAAUAACAUGGAAAUUUAGAAUGAUUUAGAGUCUGUUUUCUUUCUAAGGCCAUAUUUGUCCAAGGAGAACAGUCCUGGGUGAAUUUAUUUCAGGGGAUCAUUUUUUCGUACAUGAUAAAAACAUACCAAAUACCUAAAUCUGGCUGAAAUAAAAAAUACCAAACUCAAAUGAAAAGCCCUCAUUUUUUUCAGAGAAUCCCAGUCCAUAAUAGCAAUACUUCUACACUGAUUUUUAUUUUUUAAAUAAA